Molecule: long non-coding RNA, 2314 nt
Organism: Ostrea edulis (European flat oyster)
Lineage: Eukaryota; Metazoa; Mollusca; Bivalvia; Ostreida; Ostreidae
Exons: 4
Source: RefSeq, a predicted model, not a curated record
CUAGUAUUAAGAUGUGGUGUUAAGGAGGAGGAAGAUACUUUGCUCCCUCCCCAACAUGCAUUUGAAAAUAUAAAUAAAAUCAGGAGACGCAGUUAUCUCUGGGCCUUCGCCGACCCUUCCCAACCCCGGGAUCACAUCUCAUUUCUAAAGGUUCUAUUAUACAAUAUAGUAGAAAAAGUAGGGGGUCAGAUUUCGAUGGGGUCAUUUUUCAACGUGAGUGGAGUCGUAGAAUUACCGGACUGGAAGGAUUUUCUACGGUUCAAAAAUAACCCUACUUGUCGGAAAAUAUUGACCCGGGGUCAUUUUUCUUCGUAGAAAUUUGAACAACCCCCCUGUCAAUAAUCUACAGGGGUCACUUUUCGUCGUUGCACCGGCAUUUAGAAGUGAAAAUCGCGGGUCUUUCGAAUAUGACCUUAAAAAAACGGGGAUUACAUGUCGCGUUGUCAAGAUAAAGAACUCUCACGUCAACGCAUGUGAGCGCUAACGAUAGGUCUAAAUUUGUACUUCACUUACAACUGGUGACGUCUCAAUAUGAGUGAUUUUUCGACAGGACGCAAAAUAAACGUCAAAAUGGCAAGCUAUUCACUACUGUUGUUAGAAAUAGUGUUUGGUGGUUACCCAAUAUAUAUUUGAUUUGCAUUACAAAAUAACAAAUAAUGGCCAUUGUAAAAAAGGUAAGGGACAGCCCCGGUCCCCAUGAGAUACAAAAAUUUUAGACCUUUAUAAUGUGUUUUUAGUUACGGAGGGAUAUGACCGGCGACGAUCCGAGUACCAGUACCAAAGAACGCAGUUUCAGCGAUUUGAUCACGUGUCUGCACGGCUCAGUGGGCGGUUUUGUCCGCAUGCAUGGUUACCCUACCAGAAGAGCUGUUAUUAUUUCAGUCGAGAUCGCCUAGAAUGGUACAGGGCACUGAUAAAGUGCAUCAAUUUGGGUGGAAGCUUGGUGUCGGUUGACACUGCACACGAGAAUACGUUUAUACGCCGACACUUGAUGACGUUCUACAUACAUCGAGGCGCUUGGAUGGGCCUUAACAAUCUCCUCUGUCCGGAGAAGGACGCCUGGUACUGGGGGGUCACGACUUCCGUGUGCAGAAGAUUUGACUGGUUUUCACAUGAACCAAUCCACACCAUCAACAUAGAGGGAAGUUGUGGACUCUUCUGGCAAAGUUUCAAUUACCACUGGCACAUAGACAGUUGUAAUCAGAAAAACUACUACGUUUGUGAAAUGAAACCGGAUAAACGGUGUACAUGCCACUUCUAAACCCAAAUACAUAUAGCACGAACAUUACCAACAGGGAUGUGACGUCAUACUGCUACACGAAACCCCUAACAUAGAAUGUGACGCCAUACCGCUACACGAAACCCACAAAUGUAUUCAGUACGGACAUUACCAACAGGGAUGUGACGUCAUACUGCUACACGAAACCAAAAAACAACUCUUUCAUUUAUUUUAUUUUUUUUCAAAAUAAAACAGAAUACCUGAAAUUCAGACAACUCCAUUAUUCAUAUUCUAAAUCACCAUGAAUUCACAAUUCAAUAAAGUUCUAGGUUUGUUGGUUUGAACAUUGGUACAUAAUUAUUGUUGUUGAAUACGUCUUCAGUCAUUAGGUACGUGUAUAAUGAUUAUGUGGGCGUCCCUUGCCUUUCAUGAGAUAGUACUAAAGACCUGGACUCCCUAUAGCGGCAAUAAUCGAACACAGGAAGCAUUGUUUGAAAAUUCAAUAAAGUUGAAUCUACAUUAUGUGACAGUCCUGCACAUUUUAUUUUGUUAAAUGACUGCUUUGUUUGUAAACCCAACCUAACGAGGACCGACCCGGAUUACGCCUCUACUGAAUAAAAACAACACGGGGAAGCUUUAAUACGUCAAACGUUCAGUUCUAACCGCUAAAAACAAAGAAAAAAAUACAACCCGAAUACACACAACACGUAAAAGCUUUAAUACGUCUUUUCUGCUCUAACAAAGAAAAAAAAAAAGGAAUCGAUUCGUUUCCCUUCCAGGAGCAGAUCAAAAAAUAUUCACAAAGGGGUUGUCUUAAAAUGGUAUAAAAAGGAAAAUACAGCCCAAAAUACCGUAUACAAGAUUACAUUUUUGGAAAGUAUAAUUCUCAAGUAAAAGGAGAGGGUGGUGGUUGUUGUUGUUUGCUUUACAAUCCCGAUCUCUCGCCAGAUGACGUAUCAUGCUACGCAAGGCGCCCUCUGGUAAUUCUAGUUUGUUACAAACCUUGAACAUUCACUUCAGCCCUAUAAAGCAACUUAAAAACCCUGUACAUACAUCCUAGCACGUAAAACAACUUACAAACUCUGUACAUUCUCC